Molecule: small nuclear RNA, 94 nt
Organism: Dipodomys ordii (Ord's kangaroo rat)
Lineage: Eukaryota; Metazoa; Chordata; Mammalia; Rodentia; Heteromyidae
Source: Ensembl
CCAGCGCCCGGCUGCAUUCCUGAUUUUUGAUACAGAGAAUAUUAGCAUGGCCUCUGUGCAAGGAUGACAAACAAGCCCAGCUAACCAAAUUUGU